RNAcentral lists this ribosomal RNA (253 nucleotides) under uncultured bacterium. RNAcentral's name for it is "partial 16S ribosomal RNA". It matches the Rfam family "Bacterial small subunit ribosomal RNA", at positions 524 to 776 of the family's 1533-position model. The record is from RNAcentral.
GACGUAGGGCGCGAGCGUUGUCCGGAUUUAUUGGGCGUAAAGAGCUCGUAGGCGGCUUGUCGCGUCGGCUGUGAAAUCCCGUGGCUCAACUGUGGGCGGGCAGCUGAUACGGGCAGGCUGGAGUUCGGUAGGGGAGACUGGAAUUCCUGGUGUAGCGGUGAAAUGCGCAGAUAUCAGGAAGAACACCCGUGGCUAAGGCGGUUCUCUAGUACGGUACUGACGCUGAGACGCGAAAGCGUGGGGAGCGAACAGG